CUCACGCAGACGACGACGCGAAGAGCGAACUCGCUGGACGAGAUGAUCUUUACCAUCACCAAUGCGGUCCUCUCCGCGAUCUUCCUUAUGCUCGUCGUGGUGCCGCCGCUGUACAUCUACAGCCCUGACGAUAACGCCGGAGAGUCGAAUCGGCUGCCGAGCGCUGGUGAGGUCCUCCUAGAUGAGAGCGUGACUCAGGGCGUGAAGCAGAGGCUGUAUCUGCUGGUAGUCAUCCCGACGUGUACCACGGUAAACGCCCUCUUCCUGUACUUUGCCUACUACCGCCCGGUGCGUUUUGUCCACUACCGUGUCGAGCUGAACUUGCUGACGCUACGGUGGACCUUGGAGGCGAGGCGCCAGCAGCUGCAGAAGAGCGGCGUGCUCGCCGUGGGCAACCGCAGCAUCGUCGGCUGCGGCGUGUCUGCCUCGAGUUUUGUCAUAAACGGUAGCAGCGUCGCCUCCUUGAACCGAUCAAAGAUGUCAGCGCGAAACGUCCACCUCGAUCAAGGCAGCAACCACGCCCAGCGACUCGCGAGCACCGUGAACUGGGAGUGGCGCCGGCACGUGCGGCCCAAGAGCGUGCGCAAGGAUACGUGGGUGAGUUCGGCCGUCUUUGCGGAGAUCGGGGACCUGCGCGACCAGGUGGAGCAGCACUUUCUGACAAAGGCAAAUGUGGCUGAGGCGAAUUUUACGAAGGCGGUGGUGAAAACGGUCGGCGUCUUCGUGCCGCCCACCCCCGCAGCGCUGCUGGGUCAGGUGACGGACGUCGCCGCGGAGGCAAAGCAAGGGACUGCCGUCUACCUCUCAAGCCGCCCACCGCUGUCCACGCUCGGCUCCCCCCGCUCAGGCCCUGGGAACACGGCACGGCACGGCAUGCUCAGCGAUGGCAAGGCCGCGCCGCGGCCCCAGGGCAAUGCUGCACCACUGGUGCCGGCAGAGAGUCUCCACCCUGAUCUCCCACGGGGCUCGACCAUGCCGGCGAACAGCAGCGGCGGCGGUAGCGCGGCGAGCUGUGUCGGCUCCGAAUUCGCCCUUUUCCGCGGAGGCGAGAGCACCUCCUGGGGCCGGAGCAACACUGGCGCAGACUUACCACAAGCCUUGCGAGGCAACGUGCUGGAGCGGACGCACGAGCCGGCUGGCAUGUAAAUGUCUCCUACCGAUCCGUGGAACGGCGAGGCGAUGGUGCAUGUGUAUUGGCGCGGAGGGUGGUGAGCAUAGCAGAAGCAGCAGCAGCAGCAACAACGGCCACUACGGCGGUGAUGGCGCGAAGCGUCACGUCGAGAGUCGCUGCAGCCAAGGUGGCGAAAAGUGGCGAUGGCCUCACGAGCGUCGCUGUCCGAGGUGCGCUUUUCUAUUUUUCCUUCAGCGACUGGAACUCCCGUGUUCGCGCGCGUUGGUACGCACAUUGGUAUUCUCUCUCUUGCAGUACUGGUGGUGGUCCUCAUCGUGGUGGGUCGCUGGUCUCUGUGUCCUUCCCUUUUCGGUGGGGGAGCCCUGCAGCGCUAUCGUUCUUUUCCCGGAUGUGGUCGUUCGUGUACCUGUGCCGCGCUGCUGCAUGCCUGUAGGUGCUCACCCGCAGUCCCGACAGCCUAUCAUUGUACGUUUUCUUUGUUGUUUGCAUGCAUCGGUGCCAUCGAGGCCCCAUACCUCCCUGUCCCGCUUGUUCCCCGCGCAGGGCCACGAGCUGCGUUCGCAGUGUCUGGAAUGGAGGGAAGGUCGGUUGGGUGGCGGCACGGCGGACGUGGGAGGGCUAGCGAGCAAAGAAGUAAAACGAGCAGUCCAUUGAAACUGGCCGACACCAGAAAUUCAUGACGUCGCGAUGCAGCGCGGCGUGUGCGUGCGACUUUGUGAACGCGUGAGCGAAGGACUCGAAGAGCACACGUCACGAGCACGCCCCUCCUCCCUUCUCCCCCUACGUGCCGGUAUUUCCUUUGGUGCAGAGUGUAAUGCGCGUGGUUGCAGGAAAACGAAGGUGCAGAGGUAAAUGCAUUGCAGAUGCAAGGUGCAGCACCGAGCAGGCAGCGCACCCCUCCCUACCCGACUCCGUCCGCCUCUCCUCUUCGCAUUGGCACGCACCAUCGCUGGUCUUCGUGUUCGCCUUCUUUGGGUGCUGUUACCUUCGCUGGCCAACCUCUGUCUUCAUUUCUUGUUGUUCCCGCCUAAUGUACGGUUCCAG
This 2176-nucleotide unclassified non-coding RNA is filed under the name Leishmania donovani. RNAcentral's name for it is "gene:LdHU3.21.1940(CDS-product:hypothetical_prote in_conserved)". Lineage: Eukaryota; Euglenozoa; Kinetoplastea; Trypanosomatida; Trypanosomatidae. The record is from RNAcentral.